RNAcentral lists this ribosomal RNA (253 nucleotides) under uncultured bacterium. Its description in RNAcentral is "partial 16S ribosomal RNA". It matches the Rfam family "Bacterial small subunit ribosomal RNA", at positions 524 to 776 of the family's 1533-position model. The record is from RNAcentral.
UACAGAGGGUGCGAGCGUUGUUCGGAAUUAUUGGGCGUAAAGGGCGCGUAGGCGGUGCGGUAAGUCACCUGUGAAAUCUCCUGGCUCAACUGGGAGCUUGCAGGCGAAACUGCCGUGCUGGAGUGUGGCAGAGGGGGGUGGAAUUCCGCGUGUAGCAGUGAAAUGCGUAGAGAUGCGGAGGAACACCGAUGGCGAAGGCAGCCCCCUGGGCUGACACUGACGCUCAGGCACGAAAGCGUGGGGAGCAAACAGG